RNAcentral lists this small RNA (107 nucleotides) under Marmota monax (woodchuck). Lineage: Eukaryota; Metazoa; Chordata; Mammalia; Rodentia; Sciuridae. The record is from RNAcentral.
GUUGGGUGUGGUGGUGCAGACCUGUAAUCCCAGGGACUCAGGAGGCUGAGGCAGGAGGAUUGUGAGUUCCCAGCUGACCUGGGCAAUUUAGUGAGAUCCUGUCUCAA